AAUGGGCGCAAGCCUGAUCCAGCAAUGCCGCGUGGGUGAAGACGGCCUGCGGGUUGUAAAGCCCUUUAGGUGGGGAAGAACGGUGGUGUGCGAACAGUGCGCCGCCUUGACGUUACCCACGGAAUAAGCACCGGCUAACUCCGUGCCAGCAGCCGCGGUAAUACGGGGGGUGCGAGCGUUAAUCGGAAUUACUGGGCGUAAAGCGUGCGUAGGCGGUUCGGUCAGUCAGCCGUGAAAGCCCUGGGCUUAACCUGGGAACGGCGGUUGAGACGGCCAAACUCGAGUGGGCUAGAGGAUCGUGGAAUUCCGGGUGUAGCGGUGAAAUGCGUAGAGAUCCGGAGGAACACCGAUGGCGAAAGCAGCGGUCUGGGGCCACACUGACGCUGAGGCACGAAAGCGUGGGGAGCAAA
This 410-nucleotide ribosomal RNA is filed under the name uncultured bacterium. RNAcentral's name for it is "bacterial SSU rRNA". It matches the Rfam family "Bacterial small subunit ribosomal RNA", at positions 370 to 772 of the family's 1533-position model. The record is from RNAcentral.